CCCUUAGAUGUUCUGGGCUGCACGCGCGCUACACUGACGCACGCAACAGGUGUCUGCUCCGAGAGGACUGGGUAAUCAUUUGAGUGUGCGUCGUGAUGGGGAUAGAAUAUUGUAAUUAUUACUCUUCAACGAGGAAUUCCUAGUAAGCGCCAGUCAGCAGCUUGCGCUGAUUACGUCCCUGCCCUUUGUACACACCGCCCGUCGCUCCUACCGAUGGGUGAUCCGGUGAAUGAUUCGGACUUCAGCGGCUCCCCUGGGGUGCGCCGGAGAAAGUUUUGUGAACCUUAUCACUUGGAGGAAGGAGAAGUCGUAACA
Molecule: ribosomal RNA, 315 nt
Filed under: uncultured eukaryote
Lineage: Eukaryota
Description: partial 18S ribosomal RNA
Rfam family: Eukaryotic small subunit ribosomal RNA
Source: RNAcentral